This 216-nucleotide ribosomal RNA is filed under the name Glomeromycotina sp. RNAcentral describes it as "partial small subunit ribosomal RNA". The stretch from base 40 to 216 matches the Rfam family "Eukaryotic small subunit ribosomal RNA", at positions 686 to 864 of the family's 1831-position model. Lineage: Eukaryota; Fungi; Glomeromycota. The record is from RNAcentral.
GGGUCAGUAGGUUGGUCGUGCCACCGGUACGUACUGGUCUAACUGAUUCCUCCUUCCUGAAGAACCGUAAUGCCAUUAAUUUGGUGUUGCGGGGAAACAGGACUGUUACUUUGAAAAAAUUAGAGUUUUUAAAGCAAGCUAACGCUUGAAUACAUUAGCAUGGAAUAAUGAAAUAGGACGAUCGAUCCUAUUUUGUUGGUUUCUAGGAUUGACGUA